UACGUAGGUGGCAAGCGUUGUCCGGAUUUACUGGGUGUAAAGGGCGCGUAGGCGGGAAUGCAAGUCAGAUGUGAAAUCUCCGGGCUCAACCCGGAAACUGCAUUUGAAACUGCAUUUCUUGAGUGAUGGAGAGGCAGGCGGAAUUCCUAGUGUAGCGGUGAAAUGCGUAGAUAUUAGGAGGAACACCAGUGGCGAAGGCGGCCUGCUGGACAUUAACUGACGCUGAGGCGCGUAAGCGUGGGGAGCAAACAGG
RNAcentral lists this ribosomal RNA (253 nucleotides) under uncultured prokaryote. Its description in RNAcentral is "partial 16S ribosomal RNA". It matches the Rfam family "Bacterial small subunit ribosomal RNA", at positions 524 to 776 of the family's 1533-position model. The record is from RNAcentral.